CCUACGGGAGGCAGCAGUGAGGAAUAUUGGUCAAUGGGCGCGAGCCUGAACCAGCCAAGUCGCGUGAGGGAAGACGGUCCUAUGGAUUGUAAACCUCUUUUGUCGGGGAGCAAAAGACGCCACGCGUGGCGUUCCGAGAGUACCCGAAGAAAAAGCAUCGGCUAACUCCGUGCCAGCAGCCGCGGUAAUACGGAGGCUGCGAGCGUUAUCCGGAUGUAUUGGGUUAAAGGGGCGCGCAGGGGGAAGAUCAAGUGAGCGGUAAAAUUGCGGGGCCAAACCUCUUCGAGCCGUUGAAACUGGUUUUCUUGAGUGAGCGAGAAGUAUGCGGAAUGCGUGGUGUAGCGGUGAAAUGCAUAGAUAUCACGCAGAACUCCGGUUGCGAAGGCAGCAUACCGGCGCUCAACUGACGCUCAUGCACGAAAGUGUGGGUAUCGAACGGGAUUAGAUACCCGGGUAGUC
Molecule: ribosomal RNA, 459 nt
Filed under: uncultured bacterium
Lineage: Bacteria
Description: partial 16S ribosomal RNA
Rfam family: Bacterial small subunit ribosomal RNA
Source: RNAcentral